Molecule: non-coding RNA, 21 nt
Filed under: Arabidopsis thaliana (thale cress)
Lineage: Eukaryota; Viridiplantae; Streptophyta; Magnoliopsida; Brassicales; Brassicaceae
Source: RNAcentral
CGAUGGUUUCAGAUGAUCCAG